AAUGGGCGCAAGCCUGAUCCAGCCAUGCCGCGUGAGUGAUGAAGGCCCUAGGGUCGUAAAGCUCUUUCGCCUGCGAAGAUAAUGACGGUAGCAGGUAAAGAAACCCCGGCUAACUCCGUGCCAGCAGCCGCGGUAAUACGGAGGGGGUUAGCGUUGUUCGGGAUUACUGGGCGUAAAGCGCGCGUAGGCGGAUUAGUCAGUCAGAGGUGAAAUCCCAGGGCUCAACCCUGGAACUGCCUUUGAUACUGCUAGUCUUGAGUUCGAGAGAGGUAAGUGGAAUUCCGAGUGUAGAGGUGAAAUUCGUAGAUAUUCGGAGGAACACCAGUGGCGAAGGCGGCUUACUGGCUCGAUACUGACGCUGAGGUGCGAAAGUGUGGGGAGCAAACAGGAUU
This 392-nucleotide ribosomal RNA is filed under the name uncultured Gammaproteobacteria bacterium. Its description in RNAcentral is "bacterial SSU rRNA". It matches the Rfam family "Bacterial small subunit ribosomal RNA", at positions 370 to 779 of the family's 1533-position model. The record is from RNAcentral. Lineage: Bacteria; Pseudomonadati; Pseudomonadota; Gammaproteobacteria.